CAUGAAGCUGGAUUCGCUAGUAAUCGCGCAUCAGCCACGGCGCGGUGAAUACGUUCCCGGGUCUUGUACACACCGCCCGUCACACCAUGGGAGUCGGAAAUGCCCGAAGUCUGCGACCUAACCGUAAGGAAGGAGCAGCCGAAGGCAGGUCGGAUGACUGGGGUGAAGUCGUAACAAGGUACC
RNAcentral lists this ribosomal RNA (183 nucleotides) under uncultured bacterium. RNAcentral describes it as "partial 16S ribosomal RNA". It matches the Rfam family "Bacterial small subunit ribosomal RNA", at positions 1319 to 1500 of the family's 1533-position model. The record is from RNAcentral.